Molecule: ribosomal RNA, 429 nt
Filed under: uncultured eukaryote
Lineage: Eukaryota
Description: eukaryotic LSU rRNA
Rfam family: Eukaryotic large subunit ribosomal RNA
Source: RNAcentral
CGAGAGGGCGAGAGGCCCAUCCGCGCAACGAAAGCGAAUGGCGGGACGCUCUCCUGCGAGGGGGCGGCGCCGCCGGCCGGACGUCCUCGAGGCGGACCGAGCCGGAGCGCUCGCGUCGGGACCCGAAAGGUGGUGAUCUAUCCGUGCGCGCGGCGAAGCCGGGGGAAAACCCCGGUGGAGGCCCGUCGACGGUACUGACGUGCAAAUCGUUCGUCCGACGUGCGAAUAGGGGCGAAAGACCAAUCGAACCUCCUAGUAGCUGGUUUCCGCCGAAAUUUCCCUCAGGAUAGCGGCCAUCGCGGAAACGUUUUGACCGGUAGAGCGAACGACUAGAGGUACCGGGGCCGUAACGGCCUCGACCUAUUCUCGAACUCCGAACGGGCAAGGAGCCGGGGUCGCCCGAUCGGACCCCCGGACGUGAAGUCGACG